Molecule: ribosomal RNA, 450 nt
Filed under: uncultured soil bacterium
Lineage: Bacteria
Description: partial 16S ribosomal RNA
Source: RNAcentral
GGAAUUCGAUUCGGUGUGACAAGGCCCGGGAACGUAUUCACCGCAGCGUUCUGAUCUGCGAUUACUAGCGAUUCCAGCUUCAUGGAGUCGGGUUGCAGACUCCAAUCCGAACUGAGGUCGGCUUUUUCCGAUUAGCUCCCCCUCACGGGUUUGCGACGGUUUGUACCGACCAUUGUAGCACGUGUGUAGCCCUGGACAUAAAGGCCAUGGGGACUUGACGUCAUCCCCACCUUCCUCCCCGUUAUCCGAGGCGGUUUCGCCAGAGUGCCCAACUAAAUGAUGGCAACUGACAAUAAGGGUUGCGCUCGUUGCGGGACUUAACCCAACAUCUCACGACACGAGCUGACGACAGCCAUGCAGCACCUAUAUAGCGACCCUUGCGGGAAGGGAUGUUUCCACCCCGGUCCACUACAUUUCGAGCCCAGGUAAGGUUCUUCGCGUUAAUCACUA